CAGGGAGGUUGCAGUGAGCCGAGAUGGCGGCAGUACAGUCCAGCUUUGGCUCGGCAUCAGAGGGAGACCGUGGAAAGAGAGGGAGAGGGAGACCAUGGGGAGAGGGAGAGGGAGAGGGAGAGGGAGGAGAGGGAGAGGGAGAGGGAGAGGGAGAGGGAGAGGGAGAGGGGGGGCGAUCUGACAUUUUUGCUCUCAGAUGAAACAUGAUAAAGGAAGCCAAGCUGCCAGGAUUCCUGGAGGGGACCUUGGGUGCUGGGUCUUGGGCUCCAGGGCCCUAAUGGGACUGAACCAGAAGGAGCCAGGGAAGGGCAAACACUGGGACUGAGGCCCUAGGACCCAAUGGCCAUUGGUGGCCAGACCUUAUGGCCCCAACAUACCCUGUCCUCAGGCCACAGACAUCAUGGGCUUCAGUCAGGUCCCAGCCUCCCAGUAGUGUCCUGGUACUAGCAGGUGCUGACCCCUGAGCCACGACCAUAGUUCUGGGUUUUGGGUUUUGGUAAAACCACCUCAGGGACAGAGUUCUGGGGUUGGGUUUGGCAGGAACCAUGGUGCCUCCCAGGGAUGGUGUGUCACUCCUACUUGCCACAAAAUGUGCACAAAGGCUGUCCCACUGUCCAGCCCAUCCUGCUGGACAGGAUGGAGGAAGUCAGGGAACAGGUAGGGUGGACAUCUGGGGUGCAGGGAGAGGCAGCCCAUAGACUGUGACCAUCUAUCCGGCCACUCUGGCCCUUCCUUUACCUUUGUCCUGUCAGAAUCUCUGAGCAAGAUCUCCCAGGUCCAUCCAAACACCUGCUUUGUCCAGUUUUGACUGGGCCUUUGGGCACUACUGGGCCAUCCUGACUGUCCACAGCGCCCUCGAUAACGUGCAUUGCACCUGACAUCUCCCAGCAGUGCUCAGCAGCCCCCGCUGACCAGGUCCCUGCUGACCAUAUCCCGCACAUCAGGUCCUUCCUGACCACACCCUCACUGAUUAGAACCCCAUGACCAGACCCCACUAACCAGGCCCUUGCUGCUAGGCCCACAGUGUCCAGGACCCCACUGACCAGGACCUUACUGACCAGGGCCUCACUGACCAGGUCCUUACUGACUAGGCCUCACUGACCAGGUUCCACUGAUCGUGACCCCAAUGCCUGGCACCACAGAUGAGGCCCCACUGACCAGGCCUCCAGGGAACAGGCUGCCACUGAUCAGGCCCCUAUUAACCAGGCCGUAGGGGACCAGAUGCCCCUGACUGUGACCCUAGUGAGUAGGCCCCACUGAAUAGGCACCCACUGCUCAGAUCCCUGCUGACCAGGUCACCCCACAGACCAGAGCUACAAGAGCCACCACAGAAUGUGCUCUCUCUGAACAGGCCCCCACUGAUUAGGUUCCACUGACCAGGCUGCGCUGACCAGGGCCCCACUGACAAGGGCCUCACUGGUGAGGACAUGGCCAGCAGGCCCUGCUGACUGGGUCCCAUGUGACCAGGCCUCCACUGAAUAGCACCCCUUGAGCUGGUCACCAGUGACCCAGCCCAUGCUGACAAGGCCACCACUAAGCCCCAGCUGACCAGGUCUCCAUUGACAAAGUCCUGCAGCCUAGUUUUUACACUGACCAGACACCAAACAAGUGGCUGCCACUAGGUCCCCACUCACCAAGACCCCACUACUAGGUCCCCCUAAUGAGACCCUCUCUAAGUAGACCCCUGCUGACCACGCCCCCAAUAAAUAGGCCUCACUGACCAAGUCCCAGCUGACUAGGUCCACUGAUGAGGCCCACACUGAUCAGGGCCCUCAUAACCAUACCAGAAGGCCAAGCGACAAUGAGAUAUUUCAUAUGGCAGAAGUAGGAGCAAGACAGAGAGAGAAAGGAGGUGCCACAUCCUGUUAUACAACCAGAUCUCAUAAGAACUCACUAUCAGGAGAUCAGCAUCAAGAAGAUUAACCAUUGGUGAAGGAACCACCACCCACACCACCGCCCACUGUUUGCAGGCAGAAGCCUCCUGCAGAGGCAGAGACUCUUGGGAAACUUCUACCAUGGCGGUGCAGAAGGGAAAUAUGGGCUUGGAGCCCCCACACAGGAGGUCACCAUCCUCCAGACCCCAGAUUCAUAAGCCCACCAACAGUUCACACCCUCAGUAUGGAAAAGCUAUACGCACUCCACACCAGCCUAGCCCAUGAGAGAAGACAUGGGGGCUGAAGCCUGCAACGCUGCAGGUGCACUGCCCUAGCAGAGGUUUCCCAUGAGCCUCUGCCUCUGAAGCAGACUACUCCCCCUUCCUACUACCCACCACCCUCCCACCACCCUACUGCCAACCUACUUCCCACACUACCCACCCCUUUUCCUUCCAACCCCAACCUCCUCCUGCCAUGAUUAAAUCACCUCCCACCAGGCCCCACCUCCAACAUUAAGGAGUACAUUCCACAGGAGUUUUGGAAAAGAAACACAGCCAAACCAUAUUAUUCUGACCCUGAUACCCCAGAAUCUCAUGUCCUUCUCACAGAGCAAAAUACAUUCAUGCCUUGUCAAAAGUUUCCAAAAGUCUUAACUCAUUCCAGCAUUAACUCAAAUGUAAAAACUUCAACAUCUCAUCUGAGACAAGUCUACAGUCCCUUUCACCUAUGAGUCCCUGAAUUUAAAAGGAUGUUCUUUUCUUUCAGGGUACAAUGAUGGUACAGGCAUUGGGUAAGCUUUCUCAAUUGAAAGGGAAGAAAUUUCCCAGGAAAAAACCACAAAUAGAACCACACGCCCAAUGCAAGUCCAAAACCCAGGAGGCCAGUAUCCAUUCAAUCUCACAGCUCCAAAAUCACGAAGAGAACUCACUAGCAUAAGCACAGCAAUAAGGAGAUGGUGUUUAAUCAUUUGUGAAGGAUCCACCCCCCCACCACCACUUUUCACCCCUCACCCCCACCAUAAUCCCCUCAUUCUCCCUACCCCCCACCUUCCAACCCUCACUCUCCACCAUGAUUAAAUCACCCUCCACCAGGCCCCACCUUUAACUUUAUUAUUCUGUCCCUGGCUCCCAAAUCUCAUGUCCUUCUCACAUUGCAAAAUAUAAUGAUGCCUUCCCUACAGUCCCCCAAAUCUUGUAUCAUUCCAGCAUUUAUACAAAUGUCCAAAGCUUAAAGUCUCAUCUGACACAAGGCUACAGUCCCUUAGGUACAAGAGCCUCUGAACUAUAAAGCAAGUUAACUACUUCCAAGGUACAAUGCUUCUGCAGGCAAUGGGUAAGCAUUCUCAACUGAAAGGAAGAAUUUUGCCAGAAAGAACAAAACACAUACAGGUCUUACAGGCCCCAUGAAACUCCAAACCCAGAAGGCCAGUCAUUCAAUCCUACAGUUCCAAAAUCACCCUUUUUGAAACGUUGUCCCACAUCCAGGGCACAGGGACAUGAGGGCUGGGCUCUGAAGGCCUUGGGCAGCCCUGCACCUGUGGCUUUGCAGGGUUUAUGCCCCACAGCUGCCCCCAUGGGCUGGGCGGGUGUGGAGUGCCUAUAGCUUUUCCUGACUGAUGGUACAAGCUGUUGGUGGGUCUAUGAAUCUGGGGUCUGCAUGAUGGUGGCCUCCAGUGUGGGGGCUCCAACGCCAUAUUUUCCUUCUGCACUGCCCUAGUAGAGGUUUCUUAUGAGGCUCUGCAUUUUUGGGAUGCUUUUAUCUGGUCACCUAGGCAUUUCCAUACAUCUUCCAAAGUCUACAGAGAGGCUCCCAAGCCUCUAGUCUCAUGAUCCAUCCACCUAGUGGCUUAACACUAUGAGGAAAUUACCAAGGCUUCUAGCUUGCACCCUCUGAAGCAGUGACCCAAGCUGCAUCUGUGCAUUUUCAGCCAUGGCUGGAGCUGGAGCUGCAGGGACGCAGGCAGCAGUGCCCUGAGGCUGCACAUAGAGCGGAGCCACAGGACUGGCCCAAGAAACCAUUCUUCUCUCCUAGGUCCCAGGGCCUGUGACAGCAAGGGCUGCUGCAAAGGUCUCCAAAAUGCCGUCAAGGGCUUUUCCCUAUUGUCUUGGCUAUUAGCACUGGGCUCCUUUUCAUGCAAGUUUCUGAAGCCUUCCUGAAUUUUUCCCCUGAAAUUCAGCUUUUCUUUUUGACCACUUGGCCAGGCUGCAAAUUUUCCAAACUUUUGAGUCCUGUUUCUCAUUUAAUGUAAGAGUUGGGACUCAUUUAAUAUAAGUCCCAUCCAGAGGUCAUUUUCGCAGUCACACAUCACAGCACAGGCUGUUCGAUGCAGACAAGACACCUCUUGAGCUUUGCUUCCUAGAAGUUCAUUCCACCAGAUAUGCACUAAGUCAUCACCUUCAAGUUUAAAGUUUCACAGAUCUCCAGGGCAGGGUCACCAUGCAGCCAUGUUCUUUGCUACAGCAAAACAAAAGUAACCUUGGCUUCUGUUCCCAGUAAGUUCCUCAUUAUUAUCUGAGACCUUCCAAGUCUGGUUUUCACUGACCAUUUUCCUGUUAGCCUUCUGAUCACAAGUAGUUAACAAUUCUUUACAAAGAUCCAAACUUUUCCUCAUUUUCCUGUCUUCGAAGCCCUCCAAACUCUCCUGGUCUCUGUCUGUCACCCCCUUCUGAAACUGCUUCUACAUUAUCAGCUAUCUUUGUCGCAGCCUGGCAAUGUGGUAAAGGAAGACAAGUCCAUUUUCAGGGAGAAAAUUCAAGAAGGUCUCAGAUACUUGAAUGAAAAGAAGCAGAGUGCUGAUUGCCAAGACAAUAGGGAAAAGGUCUUGAAGACAUCCACUUCCCAGUACUAAUUUUCUCUAUGAUCAUAAAGAACCUCAUGAUUCUGCAGGCUGUAAGGAAACAUACUGGCUUCUGAAUCUGGGAGGACUCAGGAAGCCUCCCAAUCGUACCAGAAUGUCAAGGGGCAAUGGGAUGAUUCACGUGGCAGGAGUAGGAGCAAGACAGAGAGAGGAAAGAGGUGCCAUGCCCUAUUAUACAAGCGGAUCUCAUGAGAACUCACAAGGUCAGCAUCAAAAAGAUGGUGCUUAACCAUUGGUGAAGGAUUUGCCCCCCACCCCCAACUCCCACUGUUUCCAGGCAGAAGCCUGAUGUAGAGGCAGAUCCUCUUGGAAAACGUCUACUAGGGAAGUGUGGAAGGAAAAUAUGGGCUUGGAGCCCCCACGCAGAUGGCCACCAACCUCCAGACCCCAGAUUCAUAGACCCACCAACAGCUCACACCCUCAGUGUGAAAAAGCUAUGGGUAGUCAACACCGGCCCACCCCAUGAGAGCAGCCACAGGGGCUAAACCCUGUAAAGUCACAGGUGCACUGUCCUAGUAGAGGUUUUCCAUGAGCCUCUGCCUCUGCAGCAGGCUACUCCCCCUUCCUACUACCCACCACCCUAUGGCCAGCCUAUUCCUCCCCACCCUCCCCGCCCCUUUUUCCUUACACCCCCACCCUCCUCCCAUCCAGGAUUAAAUCACCUCCCACCAGGCUUCACCUCCAAAAUUCAGGAUUACACUUCCACAGAGUUUUUCUAGGGAAACACAGCCAAACCAUAGUAUUCCGAACUUGACCCUUCCAAAUCUCAUGUCCUUCUCACAGGGUAAAAUACAAUCAUGCCUUUUCAAAAGUUUCCAAAAUCCUUAACUCAUUCCAGCAUUAACUCAAAUAUAAAAAGUUCAAAGUCUCAUCCGAGACAAGGCUACAGUCUCUUAUGCCUAUGAGUCUCUGAAGUUAAAAUGGAGUUCAUUUCUUUAAAGGUACAAUGAUGACACAGGUAUUGGGUAAGCUGUCUUAAUCCAAGGGGAAGAAAUUUCCCAGAAAAAUAACACAAAUGGGACCAGAGGCCCAAUGCACAUCCAAAACCCAGCAGAACAGUAUUCAUUCAAUCUCACCACCACAAAAUCAUGAAGAGAACUAUCACAAGGACAGUAUUAAGGAGAUUGUGUUUAACCAUUUGUGAAGGAUCUGCCCCCCACCCGCCUUUCACCCCCAACCCCACCACAAUUUUCCCCAUUUCGCCCCACCACCCCCACCUUCCAACCUCCACUCUCCACCACGAUUAAAUCACCUUCCACCUGUCCCCCACCUUUAACAUUUCCCAUUACAAUUCCACAUCAGUGGGACACAGAGCCAGAUCAUAUUCUUCUGUCCCUGCCCCUGCAAAUCUGUCUUUCUCACAUUGCAAAAUACAAUGAUGCCUCUCCUACAGUCCCCCAAAUCUUAACUCAUUCCAGCAUUUACUCAGAUGUGUAAAGCCCAAAGUUUCAUCUGAGACAAGGAUACAGUCCCUUCUGCCCAUAAGUCUCUGAAUUAUAAAGCAAGUUAACUACUUCCAAGGUACAAUGAUUGUACAGGCAAUGGGUAAGCACUCCCAGCCAACAGAAGAAAAAUUGCCAGAAACAAAAACAAAACACCGAUGGGACUCACAGGAUACAUGAAUGUCCAAAACGCAGUAGGCCAGUCAUUCAAUCCUACAGCUCCAAAAUCAUCCUUUUGGAAUCCUUGUCCCACAUCCAUGGCACAGGAGUGUGAGGGCUGGACUCCAAAGGCUUUGGGCAGAUCUCCACCUGUGGGUUUGCAGUGAUCAGUCCCCGCAGCUGCCCUCAUGGAUGGGGCUGGUGUUGAGUGUCUGUAGCUUUCCCACAUUGAGGGGGCAAGCUGUUGGUGGGUCUAUGAAUCUGGGGUUUGAAGGAUGGUGCCUCCCUGUGUGAGGGCUUCAACCUGAUACAUCCCUUCUUUCCUGCCCUAGUAAAGGUUUCCCAUGAGGCUCUGCCUCUUGGAAAGGCUUCUGCCUGGACACCCAGGCUUUUCUGUACAUCCUCUGGAGUCUAGACAGAGGCUCCCAAGCCUCUAGUCUCUUGCUCUGUGCACCUCCUGGCUUAACACUAUGUGGAAGCCAUCAAGGCUUGGAGCCACCUCUGAAGCAGUGACCCAAGCUGUACCUGUGCAUCUUUCAGCCAUGGCUGGAGCCGGAUCUGCAGGGAUGCAGGCAGCAGUGUCCUGAGGAUGCACACAGCAGCCAGGCCAUGGAGCUGGCCCAGGAAACAAUUCUCUCCUUGUCCCCAGGGCCUAUGACAGCAAGGGCUGCUGCAAAGGUCUCUGAAAUGCCUUCAAGGCCUUUUCCCCAUAGUCUUGGCUAUUUGCACUGGGCUCUUUUUUUAUGCAAAUACUUUAAGUGCUCUUGAAUUUUCCCCCUGAAAAUCAGCUUUCCUUUUUGACCACUUGGCUAGGCUGCAAACUUUUCAAAUUUUUGAGGUCUACUUCUCAUUUAAAUAGAAGUUGCAGCUUGAGGUAAUUUCUCAGGUCACACAUAAGAACACAGGCUGUUGGAUGUAGAGAGGACACCUCUUGAGCUAUGCUGCCUAGAUGCUCAUUCCACCAGAUACAUCCUAAAUCGUUACUCCCAUGUUCACAGUUUCAGAGCUCUCCAGGGCUAAGGCCAAUCAAAUGUAACCUUGGCUCUUGUUCACAAGAUGUUCCUCAUUUUCAUCUGAGACCUUUUAAUUCUGGCCUUCACUGUCCAUCUUUCUGUCCUUCUGAUCACAAGUAUUUAACAAUUAUUUUCAGUGGUCCAAAAUUUUCCUCAUCAUGCUGUCUUCUAAGUGUUCCCAACUCUUCUGACCUCUCUUUUUUACCCACUUCUGAACCUGCUUCUACAUUCUCAGAUAUCUUUGUCACAGCCUGGUAAUGUGGUAAAACAAGAAAAGUCCAUUUUCAGGGGAAAAAUUCACAAAGGCUUCAGAUAUCUUCAUGAAAAGAAGCUGAGUACUGGUUACCAACACAAUGGGGAAAAGGCCUUGAAGGCAUUUCAUAGCUCCACUUCACAGCACUAAUUUUGUGUACAAUCAUAAAGAAAGAGGUGUAAUUGGCUCACGGUUCUGCAGGCUGUAAAGGAAGCAUAGUGGCUUCUGCUUCCGGGAGGACUCAGGAAGCCUCCCAAUCAUACCAGAAGGCCAAGGGGCAAGGAAAUGCUUCAUGUGGCAGCAGUAGAAGCAAGACUGAGAGAGGAAAGAGGAGCCCGCCCUGUUAUACAACCAGAUCUCAUGAGAACUCAGUAUCACAAGGUCAGCAUCAAGAAGAUGGUGCUUAACCACUGGUGAAGGAUCUGCCCCCGCAACCCCCACCUCCACCUCCCACUGUUUCCAGGCAGAAGCCUGCUGCAGAGGCAGAGCCAGAUUCAUAGACCCACCAACAGCUUGCACCCCCACUGUGGAAAAGCUACAGGCACUCAACAGUAG
Molecule: long non-coding RNA, 8153 nt
Filed under: Homo sapiens (human)
Lineage: Eukaryota; Metazoa; Chordata; Mammalia; Primates; Hominidae
Description: HSALNT0148243
Source: RNAcentral